UAAGAAGAAAGGAGGAGAGGCCUUCGCUCUCUCUUUUUCCUUCCGGUAGCUUUGGAGGUGCAGGUUCCCUGCUGUUGAGUCUGUCGGGUUGGAGAGUGAGGCCUGGUAAAGUCUUGCCGACCUUGGGAGGCGGAGGUUGUUGGCAAUCAUAGAUCUGUUGUC
This is a long non-coding RNA of Chiroxiphia lanceolata (lance-tailed manakin), 162 nucleotides long. RefSeq lists it as uncharacterized. Lineage: Eukaryota; Metazoa; Chordata; Aves; Passeriformes; Pipridae. The transcript is spliced from 3 exons. The record is from RefSeq and is a predicted model, not a curated record.